Molecule: long non-coding RNA, 2058 nt
Filed under: Olea europaea subsp. europaea
Lineage: Eukaryota; Viridiplantae; Streptophyta; Magnoliopsida; Lamiales; Oleaceae
Source: RNAcentral
CUUUCUGUUCUUUCUUUUUUUCUUUGCUUUUAUAACAAAAAUGAAUUUGAAAGAGAGACUAAAAAAAGGGGUAGAAGAAAAGAAAAGAACAUGGCUAGCGAGAAUUUGUCUCCGCAGUCAUAAUUCAAAACCCUAACCCUAAUCGAGACCGGACCCAAUUCUAUAUAAAUUAACCCUUUGCACACGAUUGUUCUAUAAUCGCCACCAUCAGCUCUCGCUAAAUGCUUUCUACAUCAGAAUUUGUUCGUCGAAAUUCUAAUUUAUGUAAUUUUUCCUCUGCGUAAUUCAUCCUAAAAUGAAUUUCGCAUCUUUGUGUGUGUGAUUAUGUGCGAAUUGCCUCUUCUUUCAGCUUCAGAGAUUAGAGAUCCAAUGAUCGAUUUUCUGUGGGCUUUGUUCUGGAGGCAAAUAUCUACCUUCCAAGCUUUAAGAUAACCCAGAAAAUUUUUGCUAUGUUUUCUGGGUUCGCUCGCUUUGGUACAUUUCUUAUUCUCUGCGUAUUUAGAUCUAAUAUAUUGUUCUACGCUCUACAACACUAAUCUGUUCAUAGGACAAAAAAUUCAGAUUUACUCUGCAUAUGAGAAAGUUUGUCAAUAAUAAGAAAGCCACUAUGAAUCUGCAAUUUAUUUUUUUUGAAAAAAGGUUCAUUUCAUUUUAAUUUUUGUUGAAUGAAAUUUUAUCGUGUUCUGUUAGCCUUAAAAAUCAAGAAAGAUAACCCAUGAAUCCGCACUUCUUCGGAAAAAACGAUAUAGUCAAUCACGACUCUUUUGAUUGUGAGCAACACUUCAAAAUGAUUGGAUUGAUUAUGAAUAAUUUUGUGUGUACAGACUAAUGGUUCACAACCAUGGACACUCCCAUGUGGAGCGUGUGAGAUGAAUGUUUUUUUCAAUUUUUUAUUCACAUGGAUCCCACCCCUCCUCAUGUAAGUGUUCGGAAUCCUAUCUUUACAAGUACAAAAAGAAGGAUUGAUGGCAUUAUUGUAUUAAGUUGAACGAAAUGUUUGCACAUUUCAAAACGAUAAAGCGAUCAAAUUCUACUUAUUGUAUAGGAACCGAACAUUCACUUGGAUGGGCUUCAUGUAAAUAAAAAGUUGAAAAAAUUACUCACUCCACCCUCCCCGCAUGUGAGUAUCUUAUAAUUGUUUUGUAAUCCAUUAGUUUGUAUACACAGACUUAUUCAUAAUGCUAUACAAACAUGUUCAAAAAUCGGGUAAAAAAUUGAGAGAAUAUGUGUGGGAGCAUGAUUGGACACCUUGGGGAAAAAAAAACCAAUCAAUUUUUAUCAAUUCAAUCUAUUUUCUGAUUCCCUGUUUUUUAGCCUUACUGAUUGACUUUAUCCAAAUUACUAAACCAUCUCAUAAGUAACCUCGAAGAAAAUCUUGACCACUUCCAAUUCCAACAACAUUGUUUGUAGACAAAAAUUAGUAGUGGUGUUACAGACGUCCAAUUUUGAAGACUCCCCAGGAAUGAUCAAUUUUUGGUCCAAGACUUUUCCGGAAGUUCAAAUGGGUACCAAAGAGAAAAUUGGAAAGAUAACUAUUCAGCUUCUUCACCACCCAUUCGACCUUGGACAUCCAAAUCCAAAUCUGAAACCAUCUCUGACAGCUACCACCGUCAAAACAAACCAAAAACCACCCGAAAGAAAUAAGGAAAAAAAAUCAGGGGCAAAAACUACUGAAUUUCGUGGUGGAGGAUUGGUAGGGAAGGCAGGGAGAAGUGGAGGUGACUUCUGUUAUGGCCUGCAGCUGUGUGAUUAUGUAGAGUGGUGGCUAUUAGUGCCGAUUUGGGACCAUAGAUGCAAUUUUUCCAUGUAUAUAUGUUAUAAAACAAAAAUCACAAUACAAUUCAAUUAACAAAACGGCAAUGCAAAAGUGUAAUUUAAAAACGUUCGUGGGUUGGUUUGGUCAAAAAUUUGGAAAAGUUGUCAAUUCUGUAAAUGUUUUCAAAAUUGGACAAUUCUAUUGGAUAAUUUAUUACGUAAAAUAGCUUUCCUAAUGUUAUACGAUGUAGUCGGGCUUGGCUGGAAAAAAAAAAGGAAAAUUGAAGACGAAGAGGAAGCCAG